UUAAAUGAAUUGACGGGGACCCGCACAAGCAGCGGAGCGUGUGGUUUAAUUCGUUGCUACACGAAGAACCUUACCUGGGUUUGACAUAUAAGUUGUAGGGAACUGAAAAGGGACCGACCUUCGGGGAGCUUAUACAGGUGUUGCAUGGCUGUCGUCAGCUCGUGUCGUGAGAUGUUCGGUUAAGUCCGCUAACGAGCGCAACCCUCGCCGUAUGUUACAAGUGUCAUACGGGACUGCCGGUAAAAGCCGGAGGAAGGUGAGGAUGAUGUCAAGUCAGCAUGACCUUUAUAUCCAGGGCUACACACACGCUACAAUGGUCUGUACAAUUGGUUGCCAAGCCGCGAGGCGGAGCCAAUCCGUAAAGCAGGCCUCAGUUCAGAUUGCAGUCUGCAACUCGACUGCAUGAAGCCGGAGUUGCUAGUAACCGCAGGUCAGCAAUACUGCGGUGAAUACGUUCCCGGGUCUU
This 466-nucleotide ribosomal RNA is filed under the name uncultured Anaerolineaceae bacterium. RNAcentral's name for it is "bacterial SSU rRNA". It matches the Rfam family "Bacterial small subunit ribosomal RNA", at positions 901 to 1382 of the family's 1533-position model. Lineage: Bacteria; Bacillati; Chloroflexota; Anaerolineae; Anaerolineales; Anaerolineaceae. The record is from RNAcentral.